GCGGGGUCUCGGAGGCGGGGGGCGGGGCCUCGGAGGCAGGGCGGGGUCUCGGAGGCGGGGGGCGGGGCCUCAGAGGCGGGGGUCUCAGAGAAAGGGGUCUCGGAGGUGGAGGCGGGGUCUCGGAGGCGGGGCGGGCAUCUCAAAGGCGGGGUUGGGGGGUGUCUCAGAGGCGAGGCGGGGUCCCAGAGGCGAGGGUUGCCUGAACUUCGGGGCG
This 214-nucleotide long non-coding RNA is filed under the name Homo sapiens (human). RNAcentral's name for it is "HSALNT0309893". The record is from RNAcentral. Lineage: Eukaryota; Metazoa; Chordata; Mammalia; Primates; Hominidae.